Molecule: ribosomal RNA, 1425 nt
Filed under: Escherichia coli O26:H11
Lineage: Bacteria; Pseudomonadati; Pseudomonadota; Gammaproteobacteria; Enterobacterales; Enterobacteriaceae
Description: bacterial LSU rRNA
Rfam family: Bacterial large subunit ribosomal RNA
Source: RNAcentral
UAAGGCGAGGCCGAAAGGCGUAGUCGAUGGGAAACAGGUUAAUAUUCCUGUACUUGGUGUUACUGCGAAGGGGGGACGGAGAAGGCUAUGUUGGCCGGGCGACGGUUGUCCCGGUUUAAGCGUGUAGGCUGGUUUUCCAGGCAAAUCCGGAAAAUCAAGGCUGAGGCGUGAUGACGAGGCACUGCGGUGCUGAAGCAACAAAUGCCCUGCUUCCAGGAAAAGCCUCUAAGCAUCAGGUAACAUCAAAUCGUACCCCAAACCGACACAGGUGGUCAGGUAGAGAAUACCAAGGCGCUUGAGAGAACUCGGGUGAAGGAACUAGGCAAAAUGGUGCCGUAACUUCGGGAGAAGGCACGCUGAUAUGUAGGUGAAGUCCCUCGCGGAUGGAGCUGAAAUCAGUCGAAGAUACCAGCUGGCUGCAACUGUUUAUUAAAAACACAGCACUGUGCAAACACGAAAGUGGACGUAUACGGUGUGACGCCUGCCCGGUGCCGGAAGGUUAAUUGAUGGGGUUAGCGCAAGCGAAGCUCUUGAUCGAAGCCCCGGUAAACGGCGGCCGUAACUAUAACGGUCCUAAGGUAGCGAAAUUCCUUGUCGGGUAAGUUCCGACCUGCACGAAUGGCGUAAUGAUGGCCAGGCUGUCUCCACCCGAGACUCAGUGAAAUUGAACUCGCUGUGAAGAUGCAGUGUACCCGCGGCAAGACGGAAAGACCCCGUGAACCUUUACUAUAGCUUGACACUGAACAUUGAGCCUUGAUGUGUAGGAUAGGUGGGAGGCUUUGAAGUGUGGACGCCAGUCUGCAUGGAGCCGACCUUGAAAUACCACCCUUUAAUGUUUGAUGUUCUAACGUUGACCCGUAAUCCGGGUUGCGGACAGUGUCUGGUGGGUAGUUUGACUGGGGCGGUCUCCUCCUAAAGAGUAACGGAGGAGCACGAAGGUUGGCUAAUCCUGGUCGGACAUCAGGAGGUUAGUGCAAUGGCAUAAGCCAGCUUGACUGCGAGCGUGACGGCGCGAGCAGGUGCGAAAGCAGGUCAUAGUGAUCCGGUGGUUCUGAAUGGAAGGGCCAUCGCUCAACGGAUAAAAGGUACUCCGGGGAUAACAGGCUGAUACCGCCCAAGAGUUCAUAUCGACGGCGGUGUUUGGCACCUCGAUGUCGGCUCAUCACAUCCUGGGGCUGAAGUAGGUCCCAAGGGUAUGGCUGUUCGCCAUUUAAAGUGGUACGCGAGCUGGGUUUAGAACGUCGUGAGACAGUUCGGUCCCUAUCUGCCGUGGGCGCUGGAGAACUGAGGGGGGCUGCUCCUAGUACGAGAGGACCGGAGUGGACGCAUCACUGGUGUUCGGGUUGUCAUGCCAAUGGCACUGCCCGGUAGCUAAAUGCGGAAGAGAUAAGUGCUGAAAGCAUCUAAGCACGAAACUUGCCCCGA